UAGUAAACAUUGCACAGGAAUGCAAACAUAGUUGGAUUUAGACACAAAGGAUGAACAUUAGUCUAUUUUUAAAAUUUCAUUUUUCAGUUGCACACGCUCAUACGUUAGUUGGCUGCAUUUGUAGAAUAGUUGCACGCUCUAGAUCAUUUAGUUGGCAGGCCAUUUUUUUGCCAUGAUAUCUAAACGGGACACUGUGUCUGCAUCACACAGUUACGACAGGUUUUUUCCGGUGUGGUUUUCUCCGCCAAGUGUUCGUCCAGUUUUUUAGUAGAUCACAUGGUGUUUUCUAGUGGACUUUUAUGUGCAUGUCUCGCCUCCUUAUGCUUUCUCCAGCUCACAUGUGUGUCUUUGGGUUUCUUGCAGUGAAAAUGGUUGUAGAAGGGAGAUAAUGGUGGCAACGGAGGAGAGGUAAAUUUUGCGUUUUUUUCUUCAUGAUAUGUGUGUUUAGGUUUUCAUUAUAGUUUUCAAAAAAGGCGUUUUCAUAUAGAUUUGGUGUGGGCAGGCAUUGCGUGAGAGAACCACCACAUAGGAGUCUGCGCAACCGUGGUCUUCUUUCCCCAUCUUCGGCGAACUUUCUCGCUCAACCCCUACCUCAAUCCUUAAUUAUCCAUGUCAUGGAGCACAUCGACCACUAGGCAGUUGUUCAUCGACUACUAGACAGUUGGUCGGAAUAUAAAAAGUUGGAUAUCUCACUCGCGGUGGUAGUUAGAGUAGUGAAAAUUCCACAUCCGACUAUUAGGCAAUUGGCAGGUGCAGCAGACGAAGUUGCACAUCAUUUGCUAGAUAGGCGGCCGGGACAGCUGAUGAAGUUGUACAACAACUGCUAAACAGUUGGCCAGGACAGCAGACGAAGUUGCACAUUGCACAGCCAGAGGCUGUUGAGGUGGUGAAAACUGCACAUCCACGGAGUCGGGGGAACGUUGUACAUUGACCUACUAGAACGUUGGUUGCGGCAGCAGAUGAAGUUGCAUAUCGUCUGGUAGUCAGUUGGCGCAGAUAGCGCAUGAAGUUGCACAUCUCACUAACAUGGAUAAUUAGGGAGGUAAAAAAUGCACAUCCAUGGGGUAGGGAAAAAGUUGCACAUCGACUACUAGGCAGUUGGCCGGGCAGCAGCCGAAGUUGCACACCAACUACUAGGCAGUUGGACGGGCAGUAGUCGAAGUUGCACAUCGUCUGCUAGGCAGGUGGAACGGGCAUCGGAUGAAGUUGCACAUCAUUUGUUAGUCAGUUGGCACGAACAACAGAUGUUAUUGCACAUCAUUUGUUAGCCAAUUGGCGCCGACAGCAAAUGAAGUUGCACAUCUCACUGGGCAGGGGUAAUUAGGGUGGUGAAAAAUGCAUGUCCACGUGGUAGAGAUAAGAUGCAGAUCUACUGCUAGAUAGUUGUCCGAGCGGUAAAUGAAGUUGCAUAUCAUCUGCUAGACAAGUGGACGGGGCAGCAGGUGAAGUUUCUCAUCACAUGAAGUUGAUUCAUCUAACACUAAAAUUACACCAUGCAGUACUAUAGUUUGGUUGUGGUAGCACCAAAUUUAGUUUUAAAAAAAGUUGCAUCCCAUAGUAUAAAAGUUGCACCAUGUAGUACCAACAGUUGGCUGUGAAAAAAGUUCAUCGAAACCUAUAUAAAUUAAAUCUAGUUUUAAAGAUCUCAUCGCGAGGAUUACAACGAUGAAAACGGAUUUUAAUUUUAAUAUGUGGUUUGAAAGUUAUAGCUUUUGAAUUUUUUGAAAUGCAAUUAAUUGGCUUUUUGCUUUACUAAUGCAGAUAGGAAGAAGUGGCGCCAGCGUGAAGGAGGAAAUAGAAGACGUGUCGGUGGCCGAUGCUUUUUUAGUUUUGUCUCACGUGGGGACCAGGUUUCUUAAUUAGGACAUGGGACAUAAAUAUUCCUAAUAUGGCUGGCUGCCGAGGAUCGCUAGCGAGCGCACGGCUGCUCGCUAGACGUAUCCCUAGAAAAUUCCCUUCUCUGUCUUCCAUCUCCCUCGCCUGGCUCUGCUACUCUCCACAGGCCCCCAACGCCGACCAUGCCGCCGCCGAGGCCGCCUUCCACCACCUCCGCGGCUCCCACCCGGAGCCCCGUGUGCUGCGCCUCGCCUCAUCACCCGCGACGCCAACUACCCCCCUCUCCCCCACGAGCUCCGCGCCAUGGCCGCUGUCCUCCUCCGCAAGAUCCUCUCUCCACGGCCUCCUCUGACUCGUCCACCUCCGAGCUCCGUGUCAUGGCCGCUGUCCUCCUCCGCAAGCUCCUCUCCCCCGAAGGCCUCUUCCAACUCUGGCCCCUCCUCUCCCCCGAGGGUCAGGCCGCACUCAAGUCAAACCUCGUCAACGCAUCCGGCAGUGCCGCAACAACCUUGACGGAGCUCGCUGCUGCUGCUCACUCUUAUCUCCACCGGGCUGGAGUGUAGGAGGUUGCCGCCACCGGGCUGGAUCCAUCUCUCCUUUUUUAUUGAAUCAAAACACACAUCCAGAUUCAUCCCUGGCUUGCUUGCAGGAGAACGUAAGUUGUUUUUUCUACUACCGCUCAAGUUGCACAGGCACUUGUAUCAGUACGCAUUUCUGAUACAGCUUAAUCUUAUCUCUGUAGCACACUCGCUAGAAGGCCGUUGAUUUGGAUGAAAUUGGGUGUCCUACAUUCUGCUACUUUUGUGCUAUGCUUGUUGCCUGUGUAUGCUUCAGGUAUAGAAAAAUCCUAUCCACUUUCAUGAAGAUACAAAGACUAGAUGACGUUUUUGUUUAAGCCUUGUUUAGGUUGAUCUAUUUUUGCUAUUCAUAUUUUUUGUUGGCAUCUACAGCAGUUGUAGUUGCACACAUAAUAGUUCUUAGUUGGAUAUGACCAUCAAGCAUUUACACAACACAACGAUACUAAAUUGGCUAGAUGAAAUCUAGCUCUCACAUUGAUUACUUCAAUUUAGCUAGACGCGGGUCAUUGUAAGCUCGACCAACUACUAUUUGUAAACUAGAAGCAUGCAUACUCUCAUCCGCAUAUGUACAGUACUUUCAGCAUCUUGCUCAAGGAGCUAUGGUGAUUAGGAUUAGUGGUGGGUUUGUACAGCGAUUAGGGUUUGAGUUGGAUUUUCACGGCUGGUUGUUCUAAUUUCGCAACUAUUGGUAUGGUUCAGGAUCCUAUCUUGAUCCUUCUAUUUUUGCCUAGACUACAACUGUCUUUUUAAACAUGAUACUCUCUCUAGAGCUUCAUUACAUUAUGUACCUCUUUUUUCUUGUAAAUGCAUUCGUGUGGUUUCUCUGUUUUCUCGUAAGUUCCAUGCAUAUAAGUAACUAGUUGGCUAGUUUGUUGUAAUAGUUGCACAGGAACGCAAACGUAGUUGGAUGACACAUAUACAUAUCUCAGUUGGCUAGCCAACUUAUGAAGUUGCACACUAAGGGCUAACCAGUUGCACAAUCGAUGGUAUUUAGAUGGAUGCACUGUGUAAACUAUGUUCAAGCAGUGUGUGUGGUUUUUUUGGUUGCACACUCAUGUGUGCCCUGUUGGCAAGGGUACACGUUCGUAUAGGAGUACAGAUCCUAGCUGCCUUAGCCGCACUUAUACAGCUGCACAGGGAAAGGCUACCUAGUUGCACGGUUGACGGCUAGGUAGGUUUGGCUCCAGUGCCUAAAUCAAGUUCACGCGGUCUGUAUACUGAUUUUUUUUGGUUGCACGCUCAUUUGUGCCCAGUUGGCCAUACAGUGCAUCAAGUUGCACACAAUUUUUUGCUUGGUAUGUGUGCUUUGGAAAAUCAUCAUAAGUUGCUUUACCCCGUGGCAUUUUUUAUAUCAUUUUUUUUGCUAUUUUUUUCUUGUAUACAUUUGGUUGCUUUGACUAAUUUGUUCGUUUGCAUUUUUCACAGGCCAAAAAUGGUCGUAGAAGGAGAUGCGGCUCCUAGUGAAGGAGAGGUAUCCUCAACCUUUAUAGAUGCAUCCAGAACUUUUAUAGUUGCACAACAAUCAAUUAAGAAUUGGUAUCCUCAACUUUUCAAAUAGUUGCACAACAGUAUCAUACGAGUUGGCAUCCUCAACUUCCAUAGUUGCACCAGAACCAUUUCAGAGUUGGCAGUCUCAACCUUUUAAAUAGUCCCACAACAAUAUCAUAUGAGUUGGCAUCCUCAACUAUUUUAGUUGCACAAGAACCAAUCAGGAGUUGGCAGUCUCAAGUAUUUUAGUUGCACAAGAACCAAUCAGGACAUUUUUUUCAUUUUUCAUUUUUCAGUUGCACAACCUCUCAUGUCAGUUGGCUGCAUCUAGAUGGUAGUUGCAUGCUCCAGAAAUUAUAGUUGGGGGGGACAUUUUUUUAUAUGAUAUCUAACUGGUACACUCUACACUACAUAGUUGGCUAGUAAACAUUGCACAGGAAUGCAAACAUAGUUGGAUUUAGACACAAAGGAUGAACAUUAGUCUAUUUUUAAAAUUUCAUUUUUCAGUUGCACACGCUCAUAAGUUAGUUGGCUACAUUUGUAGAAUAGUUGCACGCUCUAGAUCAUUUAGUUGGCAGGCCAUUUUUUUGCCAUGAUAUCUAAACGGGACAUUGUGUCUGCAUCACACAGUUACGACAGGUUUUUUCCGGUGUGGUUUUCUCCGCCAAGUGUUCGUCCAGUUUUUUAGUAGAUCACGUGGUGUUUUCUAGUGGACUUUUAUGUGCAUGUCUCGCCUCCUUAUGCUUUCUCCAGCUCACAUGUGUGUCCUUGGGUUUCUUGCAGUGAAUAUGGUGAAGUGAAAAUGGUUGUAGAAGGGAGAUAAUGGUGGCAACGGAGGAGAGGUAAAUUUUGCGUUUUUUUCUUCAUGAUAUGUGUGUUUAGGUUUUCAUUAUAGUUUUCAAAAAAGGCGUUUUCAUAUAGAUUUGGUGUGGGCAGGCAUUGCGUGAGAGAACCA
This 4857-nucleotide long non-coding RNA is filed under the name Triticum aestivum (bread wheat). RNAcentral's name for it is "long non-coding RNA (TAES_LNC000302)". The record is from RNAcentral. Lineage: Eukaryota; Viridiplantae; Streptophyta; Magnoliopsida; Poales; Poaceae.